RNAcentral lists this long non-coding RNA (743 nucleotides) under Homo sapiens (human). RNAcentral describes it as "long intergenic non-protein coding RNA 1884". The record is from RNAcentral. Lineage: Eukaryota; Metazoa; Chordata; Mammalia; Primates; Hominidae.
GGAGAUAGCCUCGUAGAAAUGACAACCACAAUGUUAAUACUAACAUAUGUAUUACAUGGUUUGUUUGUUCUUUCGCUUAAUAUUUUCAGAGCACCUACCUAUUAUAGGCACUGUCACUUCUCACAAAACUGGGACAACUAACUGUUUAUCCAACAUCUGCUGGCUAAAUAAAGACAUGAUCUUCACCUUUUGGGAUUGUUAAUUUAAAAUGGUUCCAUAAGAGCAAUGCAAAGACAGAGAUAUUUGGCAGCACUGCAGCUGGUGAUUUAUAUGGCUCUUCACAAGGUGUUAUUUUGGGGUAUCAAGGUAUGGAUGCUUAAAUCAGCUGCAGGAAGUAAGAAAGAAGAAAAAAGGAGUGAUAAAGAUAAAAAAAAAUCAACCUUGGUCCUUCCACCAAGACCCAUUAAUUUCCAUAUCAUCAUCUGCAUAAGAGGGAAGAUUCCUACAUGACCAGUGGCCUCAUUCAGGAUCAGAGCUUAACCAUCACGACACAUGGGUGAGGGGAAGAUAAAUCACUGUUCCUCCAGCAUCCAAAAAUAUAUCCAAUCCCCCAUUCUUCAUGGCCAUGUGGAAGAAAGAUCCUACUUACUGGUACACCCAUCAACAAAAAACAAACCCAAAAUGGAGAAGAGAAGAGGAUAUAUUAACCAUUACAUAUUUUAUAAACACUACAAACCCUGGCAAGUAACAUUUGUGAAAUUAGUGAAUGAAUGAAUUAAUAAAUGAACAUAAGUGUGAAGCAU